RNAcentral lists this ribosomal RNA (761 nucleotides) under Salmonella enterica. Its description in RNAcentral is "partial 23S ribosomal RNA". It matches the Rfam family "Bacterial large subunit ribosomal RNA", at positions 2182 to 2925 of the family's 2925-position model. The record is from RNAcentral. Lineage: Bacteria; Pseudomonadati; Pseudomonadota; Gammaproteobacteria; Enterobacterales; Enterobacteriaceae.
GGAGCCGACCUUGAAAUACCACCCUUUAAUGUUUGAUGUUCUAACGUGGACCCGUAAUCCGGGUUGCGGACAGUGUCUGGUGGGUAGUUUGACUGGGGCGGUCUCCUCCUAAAGAGUAACGGAGGAGCACGAAGGUUGGCUAAUCCUGGUCGGACAUCAGGAGGUUAGUGCAAUGGCAUAAGCCAGCUUGACUGCGAGCGUGACGGCGCGAGCAGGUGCGAAAGCAGGUCAUAGUGAUCCGGUGGUUCUGAAUGGAAGGGCCAUCGCUCAACGGAUAAAAGGUACUCCGGGGAUAACAGGCUGAUACCGCCCAAGAGUUCAUAUCGACGGCGGUGUUUGGCACCUCGAUGUCGGCUCAUCACAUCCUGGGGCUGAAGUAGGUCCCAAGGGUAUGGCUGUUCGCCAUUUAAAGUGGUACGCGAGCUGGGUUUAGAACGUCGUGAGACAGUUCGGUCCCUAUCUGCCGUGGGCGCUGGAGAACUGAGGGGGGCUGCUCCUAGUACGAGAGGACCGGAGUGGACGCAUCACUGGUGUUCGGGUUGUCAUGCCAAUGGCACUGCCCGGUAGCUAAAUGCGGAAGAGAUAAGUGCUGAAAGCAUCUAAGCACGAAACUUGCCCCGAGAUGAGUUCUCCCUGAGACUUAGAGUCUCCUGAAGGAACGUUGAAGACGACGACGUUGAUAGGCCGGGUGUGUAAGCGCAGCGAUGCGUUGAGCUAACCGGUACUAAUGAACCGUGAGGCUUAACCUUACAACGCCGAAG